RNAcentral lists this ribosomal RNA (245 nucleotides) under uncultured Lactobacillus sp. RNAcentral describes it as "partial 16S ribosomal RNA". It matches the Rfam family "Bacterial small subunit ribosomal RNA", at positions 118 to 355 of the family's 1533-position model. Lineage: Bacteria; Bacillati; Bacillota; Bacilli; Lactobacillales; Lactobacillaceae. The record is from RNAcentral.
UGGGGAACCUGCCCCAUAGUCUGGGAUACCACUUGGAAACAGGUGCCAAUACCGGAUAAGAAAGCGGAUCGCAUGAUCAGCUUUUAAAAGGCGGCGUAAGCUGUCGCUAUGGGAUGGCCCCGCGGUGCAUUAGCUAGUUGGUAAGGUAAAGGCUUACCAAGGCGAUGAUGCAUAGCCGAGUUGAGAGACUGAUCGGCCACAUUGGGACUGAGACACGGCCCAAACUCCUACGGGAGGCAGCAGCA